RNAcentral lists this long non-coding RNA (1560 nucleotides) under Danio rerio (zebrafish). RNAcentral describes it as "lncRNA si:ch73-351f10.4 (ENSDARG00000101648.2)". The record is from RNAcentral. Lineage: Eukaryota; Metazoa; Chordata; Actinopteri; Cypriniformes; Danionidae.
CACUAAACAGUGACAGUAAUAACGGCUAAUUUUGCAGGCAAUAUAUAAGAGGUGUCGGGGUGUGCAAACACUUUCACACCUGGAUUUGCUUACUCUACACAAGCGGUAUACACAGGACCGUCCGCUUUCACAACGCUAUCUUUAUUGAAACACUGAAAGCAUGGAUUUCGACGUUAAACUAAUCCAAGGAAAUUCAGCUGCCGAUACCCUGGAGAUCCUGCCGUCCGCAACUUGUUUUGUUAAUCGAAAUGAAGGGAGGAUUGCGUGAUCCCAAGCACAGAGCGGCUCGCUGUUUCCUCUCAUUACACAAGACGGCCUUACCAGCGAGGAGGAAUAUGCAUGAAUACAUUAAAAGGUAAUGAGGAAGCUGUCAGGAGAGGGUCGUUCGGGCCAGCGCUCCGAGUUGGAGAGCUUUAACAAACAGCAUUACGUGAUGGACUUGUCUUCUCUCUGCACGAGAAGAGAAAAGGGGUGGAGUUCACUGGUGUUACUAAUGGCAACUGUUGCCAGGUUUUCGAUGAUGCUGCUAAUGUGGAUGCAGAGGAAUUUCACUUGCGCCUUGUUUUUUGACUGAUAAGUUAAAUAUUUGAAUUCUUAAGCUACAAAUUCUGUCAAUUCUCAAGCAUUUAAGUUUAUGAAUCAGAAUUAAAUAAUUUUACAUACAAAUAAAAGCAUAUUAAGUUCAUUACGUUUGUGUCUAAAUUCAACCUUGAUGUUUUAAGUAACUUUUGUGAAAAUAACAAGUUAAAAAUGUUAAAUACUUAUUCAAACCUUUUCUUUUUGGAAUAUUUACAAGAAUAAAAGAUCAUAUGUAAUGGCAAAUUAUUUUCUGUUCACAAAGUGUACAUUUUAAAGGGCACCUAUGAUGAAAAUCAUCUUUUUAAAGCUGUUUGGACAGAAGCUAUAGUGUGUCCACAGUCAUAUUAAGUAAUAUUAAGACAAUAUUAUGACGUUCCUGAUGUUAAAAAAAGGAUCCAAAUCCCUCCCAUUUUUAGGCCAACCGCAACGUAAUGUAGGAGUGCAGUUUCCCUGCCCACUGAAUUGAUUGACAGCCACGUGUUAACAUGUUUUCAUAUUAAUGCGUAUAAUCAUAUCAACAAGACAGGACGUGUGCAAAGCAACUGGGACUAAAAGAUCUGUUCAGCUCUCUGUGAUCAUCAACCAUCAUCAAAUGUGAUCAAGAAUGAGUUUAACAAGUUUAAAAUGUGUUUAAAACAGUGCAUGUUAAUGAAUCACGAUGAUUUACUUCAGCUUUACUUAUCACCAUCUGUGAGCAAAAGGAUCCCAAGGAUUGGCUCAAAAGACAAUGUUACUAUGUUUUAGAUGAUAAUUUCUCUACAGCUCCUUAACUCUUAAACAACCAGUAGAUUAUCCAUGGCUGUAAUAACCCAAUGAUUAUAAUGCAUUUGUUUUUUUUUACAAAUUCUUAAUCAAUCUAUAAUAUCAAUAUAAACCAUCAGUAUUAGAAAUUUCCAUCACACAUUUAAAAAUGUAAUUAAAAUGUAUUUUUAUCUAGAGGGUUUUAUUUAUUUGACAUUUAAAUGGACAAUUAAUGUUUGA